This 465-nucleotide ribosomal RNA is filed under the name Vreelandella stevensii. RNAcentral describes it as "partial 16S ribosomal RNA". It matches the Rfam family "Bacterial small subunit ribosomal RNA", at positions 338 to 795 of the family's 1533-position model. The record is from RNAcentral. Lineage: Bacteria; Pseudomonadati; Pseudomonadota; Gammaproteobacteria; Oceanospirillales; Halomonadaceae.
CCUACGGUGUGCAGCAGUGGGGAAUAUUGGACAAUGGGCGAAAGCCUGAUCCAGCCAUGCCGCGUGUGUGAAGAAGGCCUUCGGGUUGUAAAGCACUUUCAGUGGGGAAGAAAGCCUUGGGGCUAAUACCCUCGAGGAAGGACAUCACCCACAGAAGAAGCACCGGCUAACUCCGUGCCAGCAGCCGCGGUAAUACGGAGGGUGCGAGCGUUAAUCGGAAUUACUGGGCGUAAAGCGCGCGUAGGCGGUCUGAUAAGCCGGUUGUGAAAGCCCCGGGCUCAACCUGGGAACGGCAUCCGGAACUGUCAGGCUAGAGUGCAGGAGAGGAAGGUAGAAUUCCCGGUGUAGCGGUGAAAUGUGUAGAGAUCGGGAGGAAUACCAGUGGCGAAGGCGGCCUUCUGGACUGACACUGACGCUGAGGUGCGAAAGCGUGGGUAGCAAACAGGAUUAGAUACCCGAGUAGUC